RNAcentral lists this long non-coding RNA (614 nucleotides) under Capsicum annuum. RNAcentral's name for it is "long non-coding RNA (CANN_LNC013765)". Lineage: Eukaryota; Viridiplantae; Streptophyta; Magnoliopsida; Solanales; Solanaceae. The record is from RNAcentral.
CAACAAGGCAUGGGAGGGCCGCCCCAUGCAGGCGGGAUACAGCAGCCAGGCUAUGGAGGGCCACCCCAUGCAGGUGGGAUGCAGCAGCCAGGCUAUGGAGGGCCACCCGAUGCAGGCGGGAUGCAGCAGCCGGGCAUGAUAGGGCCACCUCAUGCAGGCGGGAUGCAGCAGCCGGGCAUGAUAGGGCCACCUCAUGCAGGCGGGAUGCAGCAGCCGGGCAUGAUUGGGCCACCUCAUGCAGGCGGGUUGCAGCAGCCGGACAUGGAAGGGCCACGCCGUGGUGGUGGGAUGCAGCAGCCAAACAUGUCACCCAACAUGGGAAGUGUACCACCAAACAUGGGUGGAGUGCCGUCUCCAGAUAACUACGGAGGGCUAAACAAUGCGCCUAAUUUCCAAUACAAUGGUGGACCAAACAAUGGAGGCAUGCCUUAUCAAACAGGUCCAGGGCCAAACCAGAGAUAUGCUCCUAAUACGUCUAAUGGGGACUACCAGAAUCAAAACAUGCCUGGAAGAGAGAUGCCUCCUAAUUAUCAAUAAGCAGCUGUAGAUACAUGUUAGUUGUCAAUGCUAGAUGGUUUUAUUUCACGAAGUAGUAAUGUCUUAAUUGUGUUUUG